Molecule: ribosomal RNA, 207 nt
Filed under: uncultured bacterium
Lineage: Bacteria
Description: partial 16S ribosomal RNA
Rfam family: Bacterial small subunit ribosomal RNA
Source: RNAcentral
AGCGCAGGCGGGAGAACAAGUUGGAAGUGAAAUCCAUGGGCUCAACCCAUGAACUGCUUUCAAAACUGUUUUUCUUGAGUAGUGCAGAGGUAGGCGGAAUUCCCGGUGUAGCGGUGGAAUGCAUAGAUAUCGGGAGGAACACCAGUGGCGAAGGCGGCCUACUGGGCACCAACUGACGCUGAGGCUCGAAAGUGUGGGUAGCAAACA